UUUCGCAAUGCCCGAAAGGGUGACGAGGCGACGCCGCGUGUGGGAAGAAGGCCUUCGGGUUGUAAACCACUGUCGGGAGUUAAGAAAUGUAAGGGUGCUAAUAGUAUCCUUACUUGACUAAGGCCCCGGAGGAAGCCACGGCUAACUCUGUGCCAGCAGCCGCGGUAAUACAGAGGCGGCAAGCGUUGUUCGGAAUUAUUGGGCGUAAAGAGCACGUAGGCGGCCUUGUAAGUCAGUUGUGAAAGCCUUCUGCUUAACGGAAGAACAGCAUCUGAUACUGCAAGGCUAGAGUGCGGAAGGGGAGAGUGGAACUUCUGGUGGAGCGGUGAAAUGCGUAGAUAUCAGAAGGAACACCGGCGGCGAAGGCGACUCUCUGGUCCGUAACUGACGCUGAGUGUGCGAAAGCUAGGGGAGCAAACGGGAUUAGAUACCCCGGUAGUCCUAGCCGUAAACGAUGGGCACUAAGUAGAGGGGUUUUA
RNAcentral lists this ribosomal RNA (479 nucleotides) under uncultured Planctomycetota bacterium. RNAcentral's name for it is "bacterial SSU rRNA". It matches the Rfam family "Bacterial small subunit ribosomal RNA", at positions 364 to 833 of the family's 1533-position model. Lineage: Bacteria; Pseudomonadati; Planctomycetota. The record is from RNAcentral.